This is a non-coding RNA of Gasterosteus aculeatus aculeatus (three-spined stickleback), 639 nucleotides long. NCBI's taxonomy places the organism in Eukaryota, Metazoa, Chordata, Actinopteri, Perciformes, Gasterosteidae. The record is from RefSeq and is a predicted model, not a curated record.
CGUUCCUUUUCAAACUCCAAGACGAUAGACGGCGCUAAGGAGCGCGUCUGUAAACCUAUUCGCUGCAUAGACAUCCUGUUUACCCCGAAGAGUCCCGGAGUUAGCAACAGAAGAAGGUUUUCAAACAGACACAACCGCGGGAGAAACUAAGGAGGAGCAAAGACUAAGGAACAGAUCUCAAGCCGUCAGAGAGAAAGUUCAAAAGGAGCCUGAUGACGAGCAGCUGUGUGCAAACGUCUCCGAGCUUCUUUGAAUCAGAGGCCAGCUGUUAGUUUAUUGUGAAGCAGAACACCGGUUGUUGCAGCGUGGGGUCGGAGACUCCGUCAUGUCUCUCUUUGUGAUACUCGGGCUGCUCGUCUGCAUUCAGGCUCAAGGAACCAUUGUGACUCCUGUGUUUGUGCUGAAGGGACGUGAUCUGCUCCUCAAGCUUCAUGCUGAUCCUCCUGAGGGGGUUUUACUUGUUAACUGGAAAUUCAAUGAAACAGUCACUUUAGUAACAAUUGAUCAUAGUGGACAAUCAAAAGUCCAUGACAAUUUCACUGGAAGGGUUGAGUUUGAUAAAUUCUCUGUGACAUUGAAGAAUGUACAAGAGGUCGACAGUGGAGUUUAUUCUGCUGUAGUAGACACGCUAAAAGGAAA